Molecule: ribosomal RNA, 478 nt
Filed under: uncultured bacterium
Lineage: Bacteria
Description: partial 16S ribosomal RNA
Rfam family: Bacterial small subunit ribosomal RNA
Source: RNAcentral
ACGAACGCUGGCGGCGCGCUUAACACAUGCAAGUCGCGCGAUGAAAUUUCGACAGAUCCCUUCGGGGUGAAGAUGAAAUGGAUUAGCGGCGGACGGGUGAGUAACACGUGAGUAACCUGCCUUUGACAUUGGGAUAGCCUCGGGAAACUGGGAUUAAUACCAAAUGACACUAACUGAUCACAUGAUCAAUUAGUCAAAGAAAUUCGGUCAAAGAUGGACUCGCGGCUGAUUAGCUAGUUGGUGAGGUAACGGCCCACCAAGGCGACGAUCAGUAGCCGGCCUGAGAGGGUGAUCGGCCACAUUGGAACUGAGACACGGUCCAAACUCCUACGGGAGGCAGCAGUGGGGGAUAUUGCACAAUGGGGGAAACCCUGAUGCAGCGACGCCGCGUGAGCGAAGAAGGCCUUCGGGUCGUAAAGCUCUUUUAUGAGGGAAGAUAAUGACGGUACCUCAAGAAAAAGCCCCGGCUAACUACGUG